RNAcentral lists this ribosomal RNA (429 nucleotides) under Chloroflexota bacterium. RNAcentral describes it as "Chloroflexi bacterium partial 16S ribosomal RNA". It matches the Rfam family "Bacterial small subunit ribosomal RNA", at positions 355 to 776 of the family's 1533-position model. The record is from RNAcentral. Lineage: Bacteria; Bacillati; Chloroflexota.
UGGGGAAUAUUGCACAAUGGGCGCAAGCCUGAUGCAGCCAUGCCGCGUGUAUGAAGAAGGCCUUCGGGUUGUAAAGUACUUUCAGCGGGGAGGAAGGGAGUAAAGUUAAUACCUUUACUCAUUGACGUUACCCGCAGAAGAAGCACCGGCUAACUCCGUGCCAGCAGCCGCGGUAAUACGGAGGGUGCAAGCGUUAAUCGGAAUUACUGGGCGUAAAGCGCACGCAGGCGGUUUGUUAAGUCAGAUGUGAAAUCCCCGGGCUCAACCUGGGAACUGCAUCUGAUACUGGCAAGCUAGAGUCUCGUAGAGGGGGGUAGAAUUCCAGGUGUAGCGGUGAAAUGCGUAGAGAUCGGGAGGAAUACCAGUGGCGAAGGCGGCCCCCUGGACGAAGACUGACGCUCAGGUGCGAAAGCGUGGGGAGCAAACAGG